AGUGAACGCUGGCGGUAGGCCUAACACAUGCAAGUCGAACGGCAGCACAGUAAGAGCUUGCUCUUACGGGUGGCGAGUGGCGGACGGGUGAGGAAUACAUCGGAAUCUACUUUUUCGUGGGGGAUAACGUAGGGAAACUUACGCUAAUACCGCAUACGACCUACGGGUGAAAGCAGGGGAUCUUCGGACCUUGCGCGAUUGAAUGAGCCGAUGUCGGAUUAGCUAGUUGGCGGGGUAAAGGCCCACCAAGGCGACGAUCCGUAGCUGGUCUGAGAGGAUGAUCAGCCACAUUGGAACUGAGACACGGUCCAGACUCCUACGGGAGGCAGCAGUGGGGAAUAUUGGACAAUGGGCGCAAGCCUGAUCCAGCCAUACCGCGUGGGUGAAGAAGGCCUUCGGGUUGUAAAGCCCUUUUGUUGGGAAAGAAAAGCAGCAGGUUAAUACCCCGCUGUUCUGGCGGUACCCAAAGAAUAAGCACCGGCUAACUUCGUG
RNAcentral lists this ribosomal RNA (492 nucleotides) under uncultured bacterium. Its description in RNAcentral is "partial 16S ribosomal RNA". It matches the Rfam family "Bacterial small subunit ribosomal RNA", at positions 29 to 507 of the family's 1533-position model. The record is from RNAcentral.